CGGAUUUCAACAGCUCUGAGAUUGUUCUGUACUUUGGCUUCUCCUCGAACUCGAACAACUUGUCCAAGUACUUGUCAGAUGCUUCGUUUGGGUGUGGCUCUGUCGGAAUAUCGUCGUCGUCGUCGCCUUCGUCGCCGGUCCAUAAGGUUUUCUCCUCGUCGCUUCCGGACCAAACACUGUAUAGCUCGUCACUGUCGUCUGCGUCGAUUAGAUCUGAGGAGGCUUUAGCUUGUUGCCUAGCUUUCUUAACUUCUUUCUCAAGACGGUUUCUUCCUUUAUCAUUGGCUUCGUCUUCACUUGCUGACCAUAGAGUAUCAUCAUCAUCAUCAUCAUCCUUCAUAUCUUUCUCCCAGGCUUUUCUAAAGUCAGCAUCGCCUGGUUUGACAUUACCAAAGAGAUUGUAGUCUUUACGUCCUCCACUUGCGUAUGAACGAGUAGCUGCAAGACAUUGAAACAACUAAACUGUAACUAGAGCCUACAAACAGUCAAUUAACAUUACAAACACUUAAUCCUAGAUCAAAUUCGCCAGUCUUGUUAACUAAUCUAUGUCUAACUAAACCAUUGUUUGCAGUUCCCAGAUAAAUAAGAAUGUAUGCUGCAAUUGUUCUUUAGGGAUGAUUAUGCAACCGUUGAUGUUAGAUCACAUCUUUGGACUAGCUUCCUACCACAGUGUUUCAAAGUUUUAUCAUUUUCCAACAACAAUUAAAAAUCGAAACUUUAAAAGAGGCGUGAACAGGUAAGCUCUCCCUCUCUGCGGCAUUUCAACGAACACCUUGUCUACUAUUUAUAUUUAAAAGACACGCGGUACGAAUUGAGUCGAAGAAUGAUACCUUGUAAGUAGUGGCGAGAUGCCCAGUUUUGGGCAGAGUUAGCCGGACUCGAAAGGAAGCGACUUUGUGAUCUAUAAUUGAAAUAAACAAUCAUCCGUUUUAUUUCAUUUGGGUUUGAUUAAAAGGAGAUUGUUGUCGCUCUAUGGAAUUACAGUCGAACUGGAACUAACCUUUUGGUUAUGGUACAGAACAGAGGAGAGACUCUUCGCAGGAACAUCCCCUUUCUCUUUAACAGCUUUAGUCGACGGCUAAAGUAUGACCAGAGUGUCAAGCUAAAGUUCGAACUUGGCACUUUGGAGACUUUAAUAAUUGACUAAACUAACCCUAUGUAUAGAAUUUUAUCUGAACUGAGUUCCAGUUAAAUUUACCAGAAAAUAAAAAUAAGAAAAUUAUCAUUUAGUUUUACAGUUACUUUAAUUUACAGUAUAUUGUAUCUAUGCUGUUUCGUUUAUAUAAUGAUAUUGACUUAAUUUGAGAAUUAGCUAGUGUUUCAUGAUGUUUAUCUAUGUGAGCCGACUACGGUUGAUGUAUUUUAACCCUUUUUUUGAUGUCUCAAACACUAGUUUAGUGAGCUUUAGAUCAGAAUUCAGAACCGUGUUUCACCAACAUAUAUAUAUUUAAAAUCUUGCGAAACAUACACAGCAUUAGCAUUUCAAAUUUGUAGAUUAAACCUCUGCCAAUUUAUCAUAUUCAGUAACCCCUUAUAAAUAUUGUAGAGAUGAGUCCAUACACCCACCAAAUAAACUUAAGCUUGAAAUAUAUAGUAGCGUUGUGUUAUACGUAGAUAGAUAUACAGACAUAUAGUAGACUUGAUAGGAUACUGAAGAACACCACGACAACACCUACUACUAAUGUUACAUGCUCGACUAUGCCAAUUCUGCCGGGUCUUUGGCUUGCACAUCAAGGGAUAAGAGCAUUACCAAGGGGGAAAUAUCUUCCCAAGAGGUUCUUAGAAUAUUAAAUCAGUUAAUAAUUAAAUUUAAAUGACAAAAAUAAUGUGAACUAAUAAAAAUGCAACACAUGUAAGAAAAUAUCCUGCUUUUUUUGUUGAAGUUCUUAACCAACAACCCAUAGCUUCUAUCUUUCUACUUUUUUUCAAUUUUUUUCUUUUUUGGUCGAAUUUUUUUUUCUAAUAGUAAGAAACUGUGCUCAUCUCCCGUUGGGGUUGCCCUUAGGUUACAACCACUUGCACCACCACGAUGAACUGCUGGAUGGCCUUAUAUACUUAUUUUCACAGUUAAUGAUUCCAAGAAACAUGCAAACCAUGAAGAUUGCUAUUACCAACAUAGUUCCUCAUUUUCUUUGCAAAUUAGCCUUGAACAUGUAUGUUUUUUCUUACGUGUUUAUGUGAAUAUAUUAUAUGAUACUAUGGCAGCCAAUAUAUAUUGAGAGAAAUAGAACAUUAAUAUUGAUAGAAUAAAUAAUAUUCUGUUAUAAUUGAGUAACAGAAUAUUAUUUGUUUAUUCUAUCAAGGGCUGUAUAAAAUAUAUUUUGGUCUUACGUCCACUGUAUUAAUUGGUUUAUAAUAGGUAAGAUGGUGAUUGUUUGUAUUAUUAUUCUUUUUGGUUUAAGGAUUGUUUGUUUCUAACUGUGGAAUUUACACGACAUAUAUAGUUUUGUUCUAUGAACUGAAAUAGUGAUUUAUAGAAGCUAUUGCUUUAAGGACCUGUUUACGUUCUAUUAAAAAACUUGAAACAAAUUGAAAUAUUUGGUUUUGGUUUUCUAGUUAAUUUUUUUUUGUUUUGUUUUUUAAAAAAAAUUUACAGUUAAUUCGUGAAAGACCAAGUCACAUCCUAAUUCUGGUAAAUUAAUUAGUUUUAACUCGGACCAUUUGAAUUCAAUGGUUGUUCAGUGUUAUUCCUCCAAAAGUUCCUAACUAAAAGCACAUCCUCAACUUUUUUGUCACUCAGAUUCUUAUAUAAUUUGAUGAUUCUUUGUUUUCUCUACCAAAAAGGAAAAUCAUCUUUCAACACAUAGACAAAACACACUAUGGCUGAUGCUGAGCACGAACGUAUAUUCAAGAAAUUUGACACUGACGGCGAUGGUAAAAUAUCAGCAGCCGAACUUGAAGAAGCUCUUAAGAAACUUGGCUCGGUGACCCCUGAUGACGUGACUCGUAUGAUGGCUAAAAUCGAUACUGAUGGUGAUGGAAACAUAUCGUUUCAAGAAUUCACCGAGUUUGCAUCUGCCAAUCCUGGACUCAUGAAGGAUGUUGCCAAAGUUUUCUAGAAUGGUAGUAUUUGCCAUCGUCUUAUUUUUGAAUUUUUCUAAUACUUUUUUUCAAUAUGAUUUGGUUCUAAGAAACUAUCCAUAUUAUAAUUCAUGUAACUGAUCAUUGGAGUUGUAUAUCUCUCAAUGAAUACUCUCGAGUAUUUUUAAUUUUUGUUUAUUUCCCUAAUAAAUUCAGUUUUGCUACGUUUACACAUUCUUAAUAUUGCUUUCAAUAUAAUAAAAACAUUUAAAUUCUCAAUGUUGGCUUCUCCUCGAACUCGAACAACUUGUCCAAGUACUUGUCAGAUGCUUCGUUUGGGUGUGGCUCUGUCGGAAUAUCGUCGUCGUCGUCGCCUUCGUCGCCGGUCCAUAAGGUUUUCUCCUCGUCGCUUCCGGACCAGACACUGUAUAGCUCGUCACUGUCGUCUGCGUCGAUUAGAUCUGAGGAGGCUUUAGCUUGUUGCCUAGCUUUCUUAACCUCUUUCUCAAGACGGUUUCUUCCUUUAUCAUUGGCUUCGUCUUC
Molecule: long non-coding RNA, 3564 nt
Filed under: Brassica napus (rape)
Lineage: Eukaryota; Viridiplantae; Streptophyta; Magnoliopsida; Brassicales; Brassicaceae
Description: long non-coding RNA (BNAP_LNC001099)
Source: RNAcentral